GAUGAACGCUGGCGGCGUGCCUAAUACAUGCAAGUCGAGCGAACAGACGAGGAGCUUGCUCCUCUGACGUUAGCGGCGGACGGGUGAGUAACACGUGGAUAACCUACCUAUAAGACUGGGAUAACUUCGGGAAACCGGAGCUAAUACCGGAUAAUAUAUUGAACCGCAUGGUUCAAUAGUGAAAGACGGUUUUGCUGUCACUUAUAGAUGGAUCCGCGCCGCAUUAGCUAGUUGGUAAGGUAACGGCUUACCAAGGCAACGAUGCGUAGCCGACCUGAGAGGGUGAUCGGCCACACUGGAACUGAGACACGGUCCAGCCUCCUACGGGAGGCACCAGUAGGGAAUCUUCCGCAAUGGGCGAAAGCCUGACGGAGCAACGCGGCGUGAGUGAUGAAGGUCUUCGGAUCGUAAAACUCUGUUAUUAGGGAAGAACAAAUGUGUAAGUAACUAUGCACGUCUUGACGGUACCUGAUCAGAAAGCCACGGCUAACUACGUG
RNAcentral lists this ribosomal RNA (497 nucleotides) under uncultured bacterium. Its description in RNAcentral is "partial 16S ribosomal RNA". It matches the Rfam family "Bacterial small subunit ribosomal RNA", at positions 28 to 507 of the family's 1533-position model. The record is from RNAcentral.